AGACGACUCAUUUGUAUGCAGUUGGAACAGCGCCCCUAGCGGCAAACGUAGGCAAACGUUCCAACUCCAUACAAAUAUGAAUUA
Bombyx mori (domestic silkworm) is the source of this 84-nucleotide non-coding RNA. Lineage: Eukaryota; Metazoa; Arthropoda; Insecta; Lepidoptera; Bombycidae. The record is from Rfam.